RNAcentral lists this ribosomal RNA (484 nucleotides) under uncultured bacterium. Its description in RNAcentral is "partial 16S ribosomal RNA". It matches the Rfam family "Bacterial small subunit ribosomal RNA", at positions 30 to 507 of the family's 1533-position model. The record is from RNAcentral.
AUUGAACGCUAGCGGGAUGCUUUACACAUGCAAGUCGAACGGCAGCGCGGACUUCGGUCUGGCGGCGAGUGGCGAACGGGUGAGUAAUGUAUCGGAACGUGCCCAGUAGCGGGGGAUAACUACGCGAAAGCGUAGCUAAUACCGCAUACGCCCUACGGGGGAAAGCAGGGGAUCGUAAGACCUUGCACUAUUGGAGCGGCCGAUAUCGGAUUAGCUAGUUGGUGAGGUAACGGCUCACCGAGGCGACGAUCCGUAGCUGGUUUGAGAGGACGACCAGCCACACUGGGACUGAGACACGGCCCAGACUCCUACGGGAGGCAGCAGUGGGGAAUUUUGGACAAUGGGGGCAACCCUGAUCCAGCCAUCCCGCGUGUGCGAUGAAGGCCUUCGGGUUGUAAAGCACUUUUGGCAGGAAAGAAACGUCGCGGGCUAAUACCCCGUGGAACUGACGGUACCUGCAGAAUAAGCACCGGCUAACUACGUG